Molecule: transfer RNA, 74 nt
Filed under: Deltaproteobacteria bacterium
Lineage: Bacteria; Pseudomonadati; Myxococcota; Myxococcia
Also listed under: 2 other names
Description: tRNA-Arg
Rfam family: tRNA
About the family: Transfer RNA (tRNA) molecules are approximately 80 nucleotides in length. Their secondary structure includes four short double-helical elements and three loops (D, anti-codon, and T loops). Further hydrogen bonds mediate the characteristic L-shaped molecular structure. tRNAs have two regions of fundamental functional importance: the anti-codon, which is responsible for specific mRNA codon recognition, and the 3' end, to which the tRNAs corresponding amino acid is attached (by aminoacyl-tRNA synthetases). tRNAs cope with the degeneracy of the genetic code in two manners: having more than one tRNA (with a specific anti-codon) for a particular amino acid; and 'wobble' base-pairing, i.e. permitting non-standard base-pairing at the 3rd anti-codon position.
Source: RNAcentral
GCGUCCGUAGCUCAGUCGGAUAGAGCAUCAGGCUUCGAACCUGAGGGUCGCACGUUCGAGUCGUGCCGGGCGCA